AAAUAAUGACUUUGGUGAAGGUGGUGAAUGUGAUCGUCAAACCUUAUUAGCCAAGUCUUUUCGCUAAGUUGCUUGAGGGGAACAGCAUUGAUGGUCUUGUCAUGAAUGUUAAUUUUGGUGGUGGUGUUGCCCUUGUUGCUGUUGUUACUUCCGUCGACGUCGGUUUUAAUGCUGCCAUUAUUGCCUCUACUGUUGAAAAGAAAAAGGAAGAUGAAAAAGAAGAAAGUGAUGAUGACAUGGGUUUUAGCUUGUUU
Molecule: long non-coding RNA, 254 nt
Filed under: Theobroma cacao (cacao)
Lineage: Eukaryota; Viridiplantae; Streptophyta; Magnoliopsida; Malvales; Malvaceae
Description: long non-coding RNA (TCAC_LNC005533)
Source: RNAcentral